GAUGAACGCUGGCGGCGUGCCUAACACAUGCAAGUCGAGCGAUCUUCUUCGGAAGAGAGCGGCGGACGGGUGAGUAACGCGUGGGUAACCUGCCCUGUACACACAGAUAACAUACCGAAAGGUAUGCUAAUACGGGAUAAUAUGCUUUUAUCGCAUGGUAGAAGUAUCAAAGCUCCGGCGGUACAGGAUGGACCCGCGUCUGAUUAGCUAGUUGGUAAGGUAACGGCUUACCAAGGCGACGAUCAGUAGCCGACCUGAGAGGGUGAUCGGCCACAGUGGAACUGAGACACGGUCCAAACUCCUACGGGAGGCAGCAGUGGGGAAUAUUGCACAAUGGGCGAAAGCCUGAUGCAGCAACGCCGCGUGAGCGAUGAAGGCCUUCGGGUCGUAAAGCUCUGUCCUCAAGGAAGAUAAUGACGGUACUUGAGGAGGAAGCCCCGGCUAACUACGUGCCAGCCGCCGCGGUAA
RNAcentral lists this ribosomal RNA (468 nucleotides) under uncultured bacterium. RNAcentral's name for it is "partial 16S ribosomal RNA". It matches the Rfam family "Bacterial small subunit ribosomal RNA", at positions 28 to 523 of the family's 1533-position model. The record is from RNAcentral.